RNAcentral lists this long non-coding RNA (588 nucleotides) under Capsella rubella. RNAcentral describes it as "long non-coding RNA (CRUB_LNC002457)". The record is from RNAcentral. Lineage: Eukaryota; Viridiplantae; Streptophyta; Magnoliopsida; Brassicales; Brassicaceae.
UCGAUCAUGACAUUAUCACAUUUUGUAUGAUUGAUAAAUUAUAUCGAUAUCUUUUUUUUUUGUUUUUGAAAAACUAACAUUUUGCAUUGACGUUUAUGUUGUUUGUCCUUACUCUUCAAUUAUACAUAAUUUUUUUUCCUUGAAGAUAAUAUAAAGUACUCUAAGUUGAUGUAAUGAGAUUAAUUAGAGUGCAUAGUUGUAGACUUGUGGGGAAACUCACAAAUGUAGAAUAUUAUAUUAUACUCUAUAAAUUUUACCAACUUCUAAUUGGAAGUUAUAAAGGUGGUCUACAAAUUUUUUUAUGUUUCAUCAGAAUUCAUUUCAUGUGUUUUGUUUUUUUAGGUUACUUUUGAGAAGUUACGGUAUGCGAUCCAUACACUUUUCUUGGCAGGACUAUUAGACUUUUUACUUUUUUUUUUUUUGGGUGAUAUUCAAUAGUAAUUUAAACGUAUUUCCGAACUUACAGUUUUAAACUAAAAAAAUAAUUUAUUAAAAGGAAAUUGAUUUAAAUAUGGAUUGUAGAUACAUAACCCAAGUCCAAAAUUUUCGCUGAAAUUUUAACUUUAAAAACUCUCCAUGAUAUCUAGA